GAUACAUGCAAGUCAAGGAGAAUUUUAUUUUCGGAUAAAUAGUAAACUGGCGAACGGGUGAGUAACGCGUAAAUAACUUGCCUCAGAGAUUGGGACAACAUUGGGAAACCAGUGCUAAUACCAAAUAAUGCAGCGGGCCCUUCGGGGUAUUUGUUGUUAAAGUGGGCUUCGGCUCACGCUUUGAGAUAGGUUUGCGUCCGAUUAGUUAGUUGGUAGGGUAAUUGCCUACCAAGGCGAAGAUCGGUAGCUGGUCUGAGAGGAUGAUCAGCCACACUGGAAUUGAGAUACGGUCCAGACUCCUACGGGAGGCAGCAGUAAGGAAUUUUGCACAAUGGGCGAAAGCCUGAUGCAGCAACGCCGCGUGAUUGAUGAAGUUUUUAGGAAUGUAAAAAUCUGUCGUAAGGGAAGAAAUGUUUCAGAUAUUAAUACUAUCUGUUAUUGACGGUACCUUACAAGAAAGCACCGGCUAACUUCGUGCCAGCAGCCGCGGUAAUACGAGGGGUGCUAGCGUUGUCCGGAUUUACUGGGCGUAAAGGGUACGUAGGCGUUUUAACAAGUUAUGUGUUAAAUACUUUAGCUUAACUAAAGAACUGCACAUAAAACUGUUAGAAUAGAGUUUGAGAGAGGAACGCAGAAUUCAUGGUGGAGCGGUGACAUGCGUAGAUAUCAUGAGGAAAGUCAAAUGCGAAGGCAGCCUUCUGGCUCAAAACUGACGCUGAGGUACGAAAGCGUGGGGAGCGAACAGGAUUAGAUACCCUGGUAGUCCACGCCGUAAACGAUGAGUACUUGGUGCUGGAAGAUUCGACCCUUUCAGUGCCGUAGCUAACGCGAUAAG
This 835-nucleotide ribosomal RNA is filed under the name uncultured Fidelibacterota bacterium. Its description in RNAcentral is "SSU rRNA". It matches the Rfam family "Bacterial small subunit ribosomal RNA", at positions 50 to 864 of the family's 1533-position model. Lineage: Bacteria; Pseudomonadati; Fidelibacterota. The record is from RNAcentral.